This 451-nucleotide ribosomal RNA is filed under the name uncultured bacterium. Its description in RNAcentral is "bacterial SSU rRNA". It matches the Rfam family "Bacterial small subunit ribosomal RNA", at positions 329 to 794 of the family's 1533-position model. The record is from RNAcentral.
UCCCAGACUCCUACGGGAGGCAGCAGUGGGGAAUAUUGGACAAUGGGGGGAACCCUGAUCCAGCGACGCCGCGUGAGUGAAGAAGUAUUUCGGUAUGUAAAGCUCUAUCAGCAGGGAAGAAAGAAAUGACGGUACCUGACUAAGAAGCCCCGGCUAACUACGUGCCAGCAGCCGCGGUAAUACGUAGGGGGCAAGCGUUAUCCGGAUUUACUGGGUGUAAAGGGAGCGUAGACGGCGAUGCAAGUCUGAAGUGAAAGGCGGGGGCCCAACCCCCGGACUGCUUUGGAAACUGUAUAGCUGGAGUGCAGGAGAGGUAAGUGGAAUUCCUAGUGUAGCGGUGAAAUGCGUAGAUAUUAGGAGGAACACCAGUGGCGAAGGCGGCUCACUGGACUGUAACUGACGUUGAGGCUCGAAAGCGUGGGGAGCAAACAGGAUUAGAUACCCCUGUAGU